RNAcentral lists this ribosomal RNA (509 nucleotides) under uncultured bacterium. RNAcentral's name for it is "bacterial SSU rRNA". It matches the Rfam family "Bacterial small subunit ribosomal RNA", at positions 395 to 918 of the family's 1533-position model. The record is from RNAcentral.
UGCCGCGUGAGUGAUGACGGCCUUAGGGUUGUAAAGCUCUUUCGACGGGGACGAUAAUGACGGUACCCGUAGAAGAAGCCCCGGCUAACUUCGUGACCAGCAGCCGCGGUAAUACGAAGGGGGGCAAGCGUUGUUCGGAAUCACUGGGCGUAAAGGGCGCGUAGGCGGACAUUUAAGUCAGGGGUGAAAUCCCGGGGCUCAACCCCGGAACUGCCCUUGAUACUGGGUGUCUUGAGGACCGGAAGAGGUAAGUGGAACUGCGAGUGUAGAGGUGAAAUUCGUAGAUAUUCGCAAGAACACCAGUGGCGAAGGCGGCUUACUGGUCCGGAUCUGACGCUGAGGCGCGAAAGCGUGGGGAGCAAACAGGAUUAGAUACCCCUGGUAGUCCACGCCGUAAACGAUGAAUGCCAGCCGUUGGGCAGCUUGCUGCUCAGUGGCGCAGCUAACGCUUUAAGCAUUCCGCCUGGGGAGUACGGUCGCAAGAUUAAAACUCAAAGGAAUUGACGGGG